UUCCUCGGCGUUGGCUGAGUCCUAGUUUCACGUGGUGGCCAGCGUGAAGUGUACUCAAAUCCUACCUCGGGAGUUAUCCUACGCGCCUCUCCAAUCAAGGUAAGCCCAAUAAUUGGGAACCAUGCCCCUCUAAUUAGGCUGGCCCACGGAACCCCCAUCACUACAGUGCCCACUUUAUAAUCCACCAACCAAUAAAAUCACAAUAGUAUGACAUGGCUCACUUAACACAUUCAAGGCAAAUCAAAGCAGUUCACAUAUUCUUUAAAUCAUAAAAAUAACUAGUCAUACCCACAUUUAUCAUAAGCCAUUUAAUGUAAAAUCAUGGAUAAACAACACAAUCAUAGUAUAGGUCUCCAAUUACUCUAUUUUUGAAAUCAUUAUUAAAUUUUCAAAAAUUUUAUAAAAUUAUUUUAUAAAAUCUCAUUUUCCCAUAAAACACAAUAAUUUUCCAAUUAAACCAUUUUUUCAUAAAAUCACACAAUUAAAUAAAUCUACUCUAG
Molecule: long non-coding RNA, 500 nt
Filed under: Theobroma cacao (cacao)
Lineage: Eukaryota; Viridiplantae; Streptophyta; Magnoliopsida; Malvales; Malvaceae
Description: long non-coding RNA (TCAC_LNC005834)
Source: RNAcentral